GUUUGGAGUUAAUUUUAAGUCCGUUUCAGUUGACUGAUUUAGUCAUCUAAUUAAAGCAUGCUAAAAGCAUUCCUGCUGUUUCACAUUCCUCAAUUCUAAAGCUGAGCAGCAGUUCAGUUUGCUGGCACUUUGCUGAUCCAUCAACUACUUUCUCAAUAUCCAUUUGAUGAGGUGAAUCUGCCAUUUAGGUGAACGAGUCCUUUAAUGGAGUACCUCACCUCAAUAACUCCUUCUCCUUAUCCUCCGCUCCACUGUCGUCUUCCAUCAUACCGUUCGCCUCCUCCUCUUCUUCAUUUUCAUCCUCUUUCGGCAGCUGUUCCAUCUCCUUGGGCGUCUGCUGAAAGACAUGGGGAAAAGCCGCCUCUGCCUCUUCUUUGGGCUUCACCAGCUCAACUUCCACCAGAUCGUUCUCCUCUUCCUCCUCCUCUUUUUCCUUCUUCACUUUGCGCAGUCCCGCCUUUCUGGGCGGGGUCACAGCCGCCGGAGGCGGGCUUCUCUUCAGAACGGACACGGUCACCGCACUGCGCCCUCGGGGUGGAGUUAAUACCAGGGGGGAGGAGUUUCCCCCAACGGCGGAGGAAGGGGAUUGGGUGGCCGGACGUUGAGGAGACAGGGAGAACGCGGUGGCGCUCCCCAGUGGUGGCUUGUGGGAAUUUUGCUCCACUCCUGAUGAUGACCGAGGUUGCUGCUGGGACUGAGUGUGGUGUGUGGCGUGCGCGGCCGCCAGGUGGGGCAUAAAGCGCUCGAUGAGCGCGGCGCGGAUCUCAGGCUGGUUGGUGUGGUGCUUGUCCAGGUGGCGCCCCAGUGAGCGGAAGUGGCGGCCGCAGUAGGCGCAGCUCAGCUUCUGGGGGGGCACGCCCAUGCCAACCCCCCUGGCGAUGUUAAUACUGAUGUUCGCCGUCGUGUUGGGCCCCAACGGAGCGGGGGAUUUGAACAGAGAAGGGCGAGAAGAGGUGGAGGAGGAGGGAGGGGGGGAGAAGGUGAGGGGGCGGUAUGAAGAGGAGAGGGGAGGGCGGCCCGGGGAUGUCCGGUGAGGGGUGGUUCUCUUUUUGGAAGGUGUGCGUCUCUGACCCCCGUCCUCGCCCUCCUCAUUCUGGGGAUCAGAGUCGCUGGCGUUGGAGUGGGAGAGGGGGGAGGAAGAGGGGGACAGGGGCCAGGAAGGGGUGAGGUAGUCCUGGGCUGAGAGAGAGGAGGGCACAAGCCCAGACUCUUCCUCCUGAGAGAGAGAGAGAGAGUAGAGAUAGAGAGUAGAGAGAGAGAAGAGAAAGAAUGAGGGAGAGAGAGACAAGAGAAA
Molecule: long non-coding RNA, 1294 nt
Organism: Oncorhynchus tshawytscha (Chinook salmon)
Lineage: Eukaryota; Metazoa; Chordata; Actinopteri; Salmoniformes; Salmonidae
Source: Ensembl